This 513-nucleotide ribosomal RNA is filed under the name Triticum aestivum (bread wheat). Its description in RNAcentral is "partial small subunit ribosomal RNA". The record is from RNAcentral. Lineage: Eukaryota; Viridiplantae; Streptophyta; Magnoliopsida; Poales; Poaceae.
AUGUCGAUGCGCCGCCUCGGCGCUUCGGAUUUUCACGGAGUCCGCGAGCGCACCUCCGUCGCCUUCUCCGCCGAGUACUUGUUUGGCGAGAAACGCCCCAUCCUCGGCACCUUCGACACCGCAGAGGAGGCGGCCCGCGCGCACGACGCGGCGGCGUGGUGCCUCCGGCGGCCUAGUCGGGAGAUGAAUUUUCCCGACGUGUCGAGCCGGCGGGCGCAGGAUCUCGCGCCUCUCCCGCAGGUUUUCACCGACGAGGAUCGUCGCGUCCACCGGAGGCGGCAGCGUCGCCUCGCCAUCGCCGAGAUGGAUGUAGAAGCCUUGGUGGUGUGGCGUGAACGCUUCCCGCACGACACCGUCGACGAGCGCAAAUUCUACGAGCAAAGGAGGACGGAGAAGGAGGCGAGGAGGACGGAGCGAGCCGCCUAUCGGGAGGACAAGCGUGCGCGGAAGCAGGCCGCUCAAUUGAGGCUGAAGCUGCGAGAAACGUCGGGGUGGGACUUCGAGAACGAGUAG